Long non-coding RNA from Sinocyclocheilus rhinocerous, 399 nucleotides. RefSeq lists it as uncharacterized. The transcript has 3 exons. The record is from RefSeq and is a predicted model, not a curated record. NCBI's taxonomy places the organism in Eukaryota, Metazoa, Chordata, Actinopteri, Cypriniformes, Cyprinidae.
AUUUUUCCUUUCCCAAGCCUACUUUAGUCAUUAGUGUCAGAGCCCAAAGGUUCAACACAUUUCUUUCCAUUCUGGAUAUGCCCCUGUAGGAUUCCAAAAAAUCUUUAGUGCUCUGAGGCCCAAUGCAGCCAUGGAAACACUCCACAAAACACCUGUCAGGCCUGCUUCUGUUCAAACACCUGCUGCAGGAAUCACAGUCUACCAUCAGGGUUGAGCAUGUGUCAGUCUCCCAUCAGUCUCCCAACUUAAGAUCUACAGUGGAGCUUACAAGAAUCAGUGAUCUGGGAACCACUGAAUCAGUCCACUCGAUGCUCAGUGUCAUGUUGAAUCAGACCUCCCAAAAGUCGGACAUCUUGGCUCAAGCUCUAAACACAACUUGACAUUUACUGUAUGCCAUUA